This 300-nucleotide long non-coding RNA is filed under the name Bos taurus (domestic cattle). RNAcentral describes it as "long non-coding RNA NONBTAT013690". The record is from RNAcentral. Lineage: Eukaryota; Metazoa; Chordata; Mammalia; Artiodactyla; Bovidae.
AUAUGGUACCCCAGACAACCUGUGAUGAUAGUAGAAGCUAUAAGAGUAAGUUUGUGCUUCUUUUCUAGUGGUUUUGGUGUGAGAAUUGGUCUAUAUCAAACUAGCUUACCAGUAUAAACUACAAAGCUACAAAGAUUUCAUAUAAAAUUUUAACAAUUCUAUCAAUCCAGAUACAUCCACUCUAGAUGCAUCAUUGUUUAUAAAGAUACUUGUGACCCUACAAGUAUAAGAGUGUCUAAAAAUACUUUCUUAGGAAAUAUGAGAAAAUCAAAAUUUUCAAGUAAAUACUGAUCAUUAUUA